UACGUAGGGGGCAAGCGUUGUCCGGAAUUAUUGGGCGUAAAGAGCGCGUAGGCGGUCCGGUAAGUCCGCUGUGAAAGUCGGGGGCUCAACCCUCGAAUGCCGGUGGAUACUGUCGGGCUAGAGUGCGGAAGAGGCGAGUGGAAUUCCUGGUGUAGCGGUGAAAUGCGCAGAUAUCAGGAGGAACACCAAUUGCGAAGGCAGCUCGCUGGGACGUAACUGACGCUGAGACGCGAAAGCGUGGGGAGCAAACAGG
Molecule: ribosomal RNA, 253 nt
Filed under: uncultured bacterium
Lineage: Bacteria
Description: partial 16S ribosomal RNA
Rfam family: Bacterial small subunit ribosomal RNA
Source: RNAcentral